This is a non-coding RNA of Odocoileus virginianus texanus, 603 nucleotides long. The record is from RefSeq and is a predicted model, not a curated record. NCBI's taxonomy places the organism in Eukaryota, Metazoa, Chordata, Mammalia, Artiodactyla, Cervidae.
UGGAGGGGUUGUGGUCCAAAUGGGACACUGAAGUUUAAAUUUUGAGAGAUGGAGCAUGCUAGUAAUGGUCCAAUUGUGGCCUUGAAACGCAUGGCUGAGAGCAGCGCAGAAAGGUGUCUGAAGUGAUUAGGAUAAAGUUAGGGGGAGGUUAGCGUGUCGAGUGCAUGGGUGUGAGCGAUUUGUCUCAGGACCUUGGUGGAAGCUGAUGUGUAGGGAGAAGGGAAGAGGAAUUCUGGGGAAGGUAUGGGCUGAAGAUUUUACUAUAUGCAGAAGAACUGGCCCUUUUGACGAUAUGUUUUCACCUCUGUGAGGUCGUGGAAUAGAGGGACACCAAAACACCAGGUGGAUAAAUUAACUACGUGAUGACAAUGCUGUACCCAGGACAUGAGGUGCCACAUUUACAAGAAUUGGAUGCAAAGCCCUGCAACUGAAGGUUAACUGCACCUAAAACAAUCAAGAUGCUGCUGCUCAGACCACUGAUGACAGAUGUGAAGAUGACUGUCAGAGAUGACUAUGCUUUUUCUGCAUAUAACUGUCCUCCACCCCCAACUCUGUCUAUAAAUGCUCUCAUUCCCUGCUUGGUCUCUGGACAGAUGUCCACCA